This 1059-nucleotide ribosomal RNA is filed under the name uncultured bacterium. RNAcentral's name for it is "bacterial SSU rRNA". It matches the Rfam family "Bacterial small subunit ribosomal RNA", at positions 8 to 1056 of the family's 1533-position model. The record is from RNAcentral.
AGAGUUUGAUCAUGGCUCAGAUUGAACGCUGGCGGCAUGCCUAACACAUGCAAGUCGAACGGUAACGCGGAGAGCUUGCUCUCUGGCGACGAGUGGCGGACGGGUGAGUAACGCGUGGGAAUCUGCCCAGUAGUGGGGGACAACCCGAGGAAACUCGGGCUAAUACCGCAUACGCUCUACGGAGGAAAGCGGGGGAUCUUCGGACCUCGCGCUAUUGGAUGAGCCCGCGUCGGAUUAGCUAGUUGGUGGGGUAAUGGCUCACCAAGGCGACGAUCCGUAACUGGUCUGAGAGGACGAUCAGUCACACCGGAACUGAGACACGGUCCGGACUCCUACGGGAGGCAGCAGUGGGGAAUAUUGGACAAUGGGGGCAACCCUGAUCCAGCAAUGCCGCGUGUGUGAAGAAGGCCUGCGGGUUGUAAAGCACUUUCAGCAGAGAAGAAAAGCCUGGGGCUAAUAUCCCCGGGUCUUGACGUAACCUGCAGAAGAAGCACCGGCUAACUCCGUGCCAGCAGCCGCGGUAAUACGGAGGGUGCGAGCGUUAAUCGGAAUUACUGGGCGUAAAGCGCGCGUAGGCGGCUUGGUCAGUCGGAUGUGAAAGCCCCGGGCUUAACCUGGGAAUUGCAUUCGAUACUGCCGAACUAGAGUAUGGGAGAGGGAAGUGGAAUUUCCGGUGUAGCGGUGAAAUGCGUAGAUAUCGRAAAGAACACCAGUGGCGAAGGCGACUUCCUGGCCCAAUACUGACGCUGAGGUGCGAAAGCGUGGGGAGCAAACAGGAUUAGAUACCCUGGUAGUCCACGCCGUAAACGAUGAGAACUAGAUGUUGGGAGGGUUUAGCCUCUCGGUGUCGUAGCUAACGCGUUAAGUUCUCCGCCUGGGGAGUACGCCGGCAACGGUAAAACUCAAAGGAAUUGACGGGGACCCGCACAAGCGGUGGAGCAUGUGGUUUAAUUCGAUGCAACGCGAAGAACCUUACCUGCCCUUGACAUCCUCGGAACUUGUCAGAGAUGACUUGGUGCCUUCGGGAACCGAGUGACAGGUGCUGUCAUGGCUGUCGUC